AGUGAUAAUGCAUCCAACAGCCACGGCCACGAGUGCGCCCGGGUUCGCGGACGCGCUAGCAUCACUGGCGCCGCCGCCGUCUGGGAUGCGCCACGUCGCUGGUCACGUGAAGACGACGUCUCGGUGCGAGGCGGCUAGCUCGUGUACCGAGAGCGUGGUGUUCCAUUCGGCGUCACGCGCAAGGAAGCGCCUGCGGUCAGGGACACGUCGGUGCACCACAGCGGCGCUCCUCCGGCGUUUGCCUGUUUCCAGCGGCUACUCUUCGGCCGAGCCUAUUCCUGGCAUCGAGGCACGGGUAAUCGGGUGACACUUAUGGCGUCUGCGGACAAAAGCAACGGCACUCCAGAGACGCCCGCUGGUCGAAGGAAUGGUGAUGAGCCAACAGACAAGCGCAAGCGACCACUGCGGUUCUCGGGUCAGCAGGACAUCCAGCUACUGCAAGAGGUGGUCAGCCUCAACCCGUUCAAGGACACCCCUCCAACGACAGCGUGGGCCUCGAUAUCGCGCAACUUGGAGAGCGUGCUGUCGAUCAGUUCUAGGCGCUGCCGUGAGCGCACCAUCCUCAUGCUGGACCAGUACAUCAAGGGCGACCUCGCCAGCUUACAGCGCUUCUGCACUAAAGACGAGUUCGCAGUGAAGGAGCAGCUGCUACAACAGGUGCUGCAGCAGUACGAGGGCGGCGCCGGUGGUUACAGCACCCGCAUCGGUACCGGCGUUGCGGCAGGCGCCCCAAGCAGCAGCUGCCCAGGAGGACGACGACGACGACUUUGACUUGUACAAGCCUCGCGUCAUCCUACAGGAGGAGUCCACUCCGGAGCACUCUGACAGCCUCGAACCGAGCAGCGAGCAUGACAAGGACGACCAGCAGGACCAAUCUCCGAAGCGGCCGCGACUCACCGAGGACGAGGUGCUCAUCGAGGAGAUCAAGGCUGCCGCGGCCGCUGCAGCGGCAGCUGCUGCCGAGGAAGGCGCCGCGAAUGACGAGGCGGCCGUGGUGGCCGCGGAGGGCAACACAACCACCAUCGAAGCGCGGCACGUGGCUCGGUCCAUAGUCGCCGGAGACUUCCCCAUGCAAGUGAUCACCUUCCUGCUCACCCGUCAGGCCAAGGAAGCACAAGUCCGAGAGCGCGAGCUGAAGAUUCGUCGUGAGGAGGUGCAGCUAGAAAAGGCUCGGCUGCGACUCCAGGAGGACAAACUGGCGCUGGAGAGGGCUCGCUUCGAGAUCGAACGCCAGGAGCGCGAGCUUCGGCUCCGCUCCGAGCUCCAGGAGCGCACCGUCUUCAUGGAAGUGCUUAAAAAAGUCUUCAGCAAUGGGCUUGGUACCAUCUGACAGGCGUCGUCUUGCUCACUGUGAAUGCUGCAGGUCGCAGUCCUCGCGACAUUCACGGUGUUGGUGUCUGGUAGCCGAGUUCAGCAACGGGACACUUGAAGGAAGCUUCGGACGUAAUGUGCCUGGCACUGUUACGCUUGAGUCAACCUUUUGUUUUCUUUUCUUUUUUAUUCAGUACCACAUUAAACGCCCAUCGCCAUUGCCUGU
Molecule: RNA transcript, 1537 nt
Organism: Dermacentor silvarum
Lineage: Eukaryota; Metazoa; Arthropoda; Arachnida; Ixodida; Ixodidae
Exons: 6
Source: RefSeq, a predicted model, not a curated record